GAUGAACGCUGGCGGCGUGCUUAACACAUGCAAGUCGAACGGAAAGGCCCCAGCUUGCUGGGGUACUCGAGUGGCGAGCGGGUGAGUAACACGUGGGUGAUCUGCCCUGCACUUUGGGAUAAGCUUGGGAAACUGGGUCUAAUACCGAAUAUGACCACUUCUUGGAUGUUGUGGUGGAAAGCUUUUGCGGUGUGGGAUGAGCCUGCGGCCUAUCAGCUUGUUGGUGGGGUAAUGGCCUACCAAGGCGGCGACGGGUAUCCGGCCUGAGAGGGUGUACGGACACAUUGGGACUGAGAUACGGCCCAGACUCCUACGGGAGGCAGCAGUGGGGAAUAUUGCACAAUGGGCGCAAGCCUGAUGCAGCGACGCCGCGUGGGGGAUGAAGGCCUUCGGGUUGUAAACUCCUUUCGCUAUCGACGAAGCCUUUUAGGUGACGGUAGGUAGAUAAGAAGCACCGGCUAACUACGUGCCAGCCGCCGCCGUAA
RNAcentral lists this ribosomal RNA (485 nucleotides) under uncultured bacterium. RNAcentral's name for it is "partial 16S ribosomal RNA". It matches the Rfam family "Bacterial small subunit ribosomal RNA", at positions 28 to 523 of the family's 1533-position model. The record is from RNAcentral.